RNAcentral lists this ribosomal RNA (433 nucleotides) under uncultured bacterium. Its description in RNAcentral is "partial 16S ribosomal RNA". It matches the Rfam family "Bacterial small subunit ribosomal RNA", at positions 29 to 507 of the family's 1533-position model. The record is from RNAcentral.
AACGAACGCUGGCGGCAGGCUUAACACAUGCAAGUCGAACGCACCUUUCGGGGUGAGUGGCAGACGGGUGAGUAACGCGUGGGAAUCUACCCUUCUCUACGGGAUAGCUCCGGGAAACGGGAAAUAAUACCGUAUACGUCCUGAGGGAGAAAGAUUUAUCGGGGCAGGCUGAGCCCGCGUUGGAUUAGCUAGUUGGUGGGGUAAAGGCCUACCAAGGCGACGAUCCAUAGCUUGUCUAAGAGGAUGAUCAGCCACAUUGGGAGUGAGACACGGCCCAAACUCUUACGCGAGGCAGCAGUGGGUAAUAUUGGACAAUGGGCGCAAGCCUGAUCCAGCCAUGCCGCGUGAGUGAUGAAGGCCCUAGGGUUGUAAAGCUCUUUUAGUGGGGACGAUAAUGACGGUACCCAAAGAAGAAGCCCCGGCUAACUUCGUG